RNAcentral lists this ribosomal RNA (540 nucleotides) under Aspergillus niger. RNAcentral describes it as "eukaryotic LSU rRNA". The stretch from base 190 to 343 matches the Rfam family "5.8S ribosomal RNA". The record is from RNAcentral. Lineage: Eukaryota; Fungi; Ascomycota; Eurotiomycetes; Eurotiales; Aspergillaceae.
GGCAUUCGACUGCGGGUCUUUGGGCCAACCUCCCAUCCGUGUCUAUUGUACCCUGUUGCUUCGGCGGGCCCGCCGCUUGUCGGCCGCCGGGGGGGCGCCUCUGCCCCCCGGGCCCGUGCCCGCCGGAGACCCCAACACGAACACUGUCUGAAAGCGUGCAGUCUGAGUUGAUUGAAUGCAAUCAGUUAAAACUUUCAACAAUGGAUCUCUUGGUUCCGGCAUCGAUGAAGAACGCAGCGAAAUGCGAUAACUAAUGUGAAUUGCAGAAUUCAGUGAAUCAUCGAGUCUUUGAACGCACAUUGCGCCCCCUGGUAUUCCGGGGGGCAUGCCUGUCCGAGCGUCAUUGCUGCCCUCAAGCCCGGCUUGUGUGUUGGGUCGCCGUCCCCCUCUCCGGGGGGACGGGCCCGAAAGGCAGCGGCGGCACCGCGUCCGAUCCUCGAGCGUAUGGGGCUUUGUCACAUGCUCUGUAGGAUUGGCCGGCGCCUGCCGACGUUUUCCAACCAUUCUUCCAGGUGACCUCGGAUCAGGAGGAUGCCACCG